GAAGGAACACACAUUUUUAGAGAAAUAAUACAUUGAGAAGAAAAUAAAGCUGACUCUAAUGUCCCAGGGGGCUUUGUCUGUUCCUUCUAGUCCCACAUGGAUCUGCACCUUAGCUGAGGGAGUGUGGGUCAGGAGAUCAAUCAAUCUUUAUGUCAGGGUUUUGGGGUUGUGUCGGUCAUUGUGCUGCAGGGGGUGGUGUGGGGCACAAUUGGUUACAGCUGGCACUGCUGGCAGGCGCACCUGUAGGCAAUUUACAUUGGGCUGCCUAUUUAAGCAGGUUGCGCCUGCCUGUCAGUGCCAGGGUGUCUGUUUGUGUUGUGAGGGUGUUUGUUCGGGUUCCCCCGUCGUGUGUUGGAUCUGCGGUCCUGGAGGACUGUUGUUCCUGAGUUCUCUGCGGUCCUGGAGGACUGCUGUUCCUGAGUUCUCUGCGGUCCUGGAGGACUGCUGUUCCUGUUCCCGAGUUUCCUGUUGCCCUGGAGGGCCACUUCUGUUCCCGAGUUUCCUGUUGCCCUGGAGGGCCACCUCUGUUCCCGAGUUUCCUGUUGCCCUGGAGGGCCACCUCUGUUCCCGAGUUUCCUGUUGCCCUGGAGGGCCACCUCUGUUCCCGAGUUUCCUGUGGCCCUGGAGGGCCGCUUCUGUUCCCUGUGCUCGGCUGUCCUGGAGGGCCGCCCGCGUCUUGUGUUGCCUCCCUUCCCCCGUAAAUAAAACCUUGUGACUAUUUUACUACUGUGUCCUGGCCUGCGUUCGGGUCCUGUUCACCCCCCUCCGUGACAGAACACCCUGGCCAGUGUGGACCCGGCGGGUCAGGAUGCAGUGGAGCUAAAGACACAACCCCUCCCUUCCCCUUCCCUGACAGUAACCUCCCCCGUCGCUUCUUUUGUGCCCACUUUGAUGGUCCUUGUAGGGCGCCAGGAGGCGCCCGUUGAGGGGGAGGUAAUGUCAGGGUUUUGGGGUUGUGUCGGUCAUUGUGCUGCAGGGGGUGGUGUGGGGCACAAUUGGUUACAGCUGGCACUGCUGGCAGGCGCACCUGUAGGCAAUUUACAUUGGGCUGCCUAUUUAAGCAGGUUGUGCCUGCCUGUCAGUGCCAGGGUGUCUGUUUGUGUUGUGAGGGUGUUUGUUCGGGUUCCCUCGUCAUGUGUUGGAUCUGCGGUCCUGGAGGACUGUUGUUCCUGAGUUCUCUGCGGUCCUGGAGGACUGCUGUUCCUGAGUUCUCUGCGGUCCUGGAGGACUGCUUCUGUUCCUGAGUUCUCUGCGGUCCUGGAGGACUGCUUCUGUUCCUGAGUUCUCUGCGGUCCUGGAGGACUGCUUCUGUUCCUGAGUUCUCUGCGGUCCUGGAGGGCUGCUUCUGUUCCUGAGUUCUCUGCGGUCCUGGAGGACUGCUUCUGUUCCUGAGUUCUCUGCGGUCCUGGAGGACUGCUUCUGUUCCUGAGUUCUCUGCGGUCCUGGAGGACUGCUUCUGUUCCUGAGUUCUCUGCGGUCCUGGAGGACUGCUUCUGUUCCUGAGUUCUCUGCAGUCCUGGAGGACUGCUUCUGUUCCUGAGUUCUCUGCAGUCCUGGAGGACUGCUUCUGUUCCUGAGUUCUCUGCAGUCCUGGAGGGCCGCCUCUGUUCCCGAGUUUCCUGCGGCCCUGGAGGGCCACCUCUGUUCCCGAGUUUCCUGUGGCCCUGGAGGGCCGCUUCUGUUCCCUGUGCUCGGCUGUCCUGGAGGGCUGCCCGCGUCUUGUGUUGCCUCCCUUCCCCCGUAAAUAAAACCUUGACUAUUUUACUACUGUGUCCUGGCCUGCGUUCGGGUCCUGUUCACCCCCCUCCGUGACACUUUAUUUAUAUAGCGUCUGUUACAAUCAAAAUUAUUUCUUUACAGAAUCCCAGGGCCUGACCCACAACAAGCAACAGUGGCAAGGAAAACCCCCAUUUUACAGGAAAAAACCUUGAGUAGGACCAGGCUCAUGUAGGGGGACCCUCCUGCUGAUGACCGUUGGGGGAGGACACGUAGAGGAGAGAAUAGGCAGAUGUCAUAGAAAUACGUACAUUAAUAAUACAAGCUGCUGGUAUAACAGUAGCAGGGUCGGCAGGCCAGCAUAUAGCUAUAAAGGCAGCUAGAUGUUAAGAACGGUUGUAUCAGGACCCGGAAGCAGGCAACACGCAGUGGAGAAUGGUGUUUGAAAAGAGUCUUUAUUUUAAAGUGAACAAGAACAGUUUGGGCCGGGUUCACAGAGAGGCACAGAGAGCUCAACUGAGUCCAAAUCAAGUCCACUAGGAAAACUCACAAAAAAGUCAAGCCACAGAAGUCAGGGUUGGGAACAGAGCUUGAAAAUAUAGCCCUUGCACCUGAGAGUCGCUGGCAGGGUUGUUAGUAGGGUCUUUCACGUAGUUUCAGUUGAUGUGUCUCUCCUUUGUCUGCUGGCUGACAUAGUGGUGAGUCACCAGGUCUCCUGAAAUGGUGUGAACGUUUGGUUUGUUGUUGGAAGGAGUGGAGGACUGCAUUGUAUGUGGGUGGAUAGGAAGUGCCUUAGCCCACCACCUCAGUUUAAGGAUGUUUUUUUCCAAUUUGACAUGGAUGACUUCGUUGACACCCCUCUCAAACCAACAAUCUUCUCUGGCCAGUACUCGUACUUGGCUAUCUUCAAAGGAGUGCCUGCUCUUCUUUAGGUGUAAGUGGACUGCUGAGUCCUGACCUGAAGAGGUGGCGUUUUCGUCGUAACACCCCUUCUCUGAGGAGGCAGAAACAAGGCCUUGAAAGUUUCUACUGCAUCUGACCAUGCACUGCUCUCAGACAGGGUCAGUUGAAUCAGACUUGGUUAGCUCUCCCUCAAAGCUCUCACUGCCGUGCAAGCUCUGGGGCCACAGCGGCAAGUAUCUGUGGGAGAAGAAUGGAAAUAAGUAAAUGAAAAUCUGAAAGAGACUUGCUUUAAAUAGUUUUGCAUUGUGGAUGGCAAGUUAUCGAUUGUGGUACAUGCAGUGUAUCGAGAAUAUCCUCAUGAAUUCCGUGUUUGUUAAGACACUGAUACAAUGUGUUGCCACUAGCCUCGCCACUUCCACUUUCAUCACUGUAUAACAGACAUAACAGGCCUGAGUUUAGAGUUAGUAAACAAUGAGAUGUUGUCCUUUUAUCAAGUAGAAUGCUGAACUUAUCUAGGGACUGGACAACACAUUCAGCUAGCUGAGCUAAUAGUUUCCCUGCUAU
RNAcentral lists this long non-coding RNA (3183 nucleotides) under Takifugu rubripes (torafugu). Its description in RNAcentral is "lncRNA (ENSTRUG00000031538.1)". The record is from RNAcentral. Lineage: Eukaryota; Metazoa; Chordata; Actinopteri; Tetraodontiformes; Tetraodontidae.